Molecule: regulatory RNA element, 45 nt
Organism: Ophiophagus hannah (king cobra)
Lineage: Eukaryota; Metazoa; Chordata; Lepidosauria; Squamata; Elapidae
Rfam family: Histone 3' UTR stem-loop
About the family: The mRNAs of metazoan histone genes lack a poly-A tail.
Source: Rfam
UAAAAGGCUCUUUUAAGAGCCAUCAAAUAAUCCAAAAAGUGCUGG